This is a long non-coding RNA of Suricata suricatta (meerkat), 397 nucleotides long. RefSeq lists it as uncharacterized. The transcript has 3 exons. The record is from RefSeq and is a predicted model, not a curated record. Lineage: Eukaryota; Metazoa; Chordata; Mammalia; Carnivora; Herpestidae.
GCCGGCUGCGACCGGACUCUCCCCUGGGGAGACGGUGCCUGGGUCCUGACCCGGGAAGCGCCUCUCUUUGUUCGCACCCUUGCGAGUUCUAGCGGAGGACGACGAGGCUCUGGGUGGAUUUCUCCUUGGUUGUGUCCCCCCCAGCGUCAGUCCUGAGAAAGCUAAGGAGACGGUCGGCUUAGUCUCAGACGCAACCUUUUUUCUUUGAAAUUUUAGUUCACAAUGGAUGUAAUUGGAAAAAUAACAGGGUUCAGGUAUAAGCAGGUGAACGUUUGAUAUUAGAGAGAAAAACAGCAGUGUGUAAGGGGAAAAAGAACCUGAUUUCCAUUUUCAUGGAGGAUUCACUGGAGGAUUUCUUUUCAGUCUAAAUUGUUGACUUUUAUAUAUUCUGACAUUA